RNAcentral lists this long non-coding RNA (2720 nucleotides) under Brassica napus (rape). Its description in RNAcentral is "long non-coding RNA (BNAP_LNC007027)". Lineage: Eukaryota; Viridiplantae; Streptophyta; Magnoliopsida; Brassicales; Brassicaceae. The record is from RNAcentral.
GUUUUUAUAAAAUUAUAUCCAUUCGGUUUAUAUGGUAUAUACCAAAACCAAACCAUAUUGUCUAUUUCGGUUCGGUUCGGUUCGGUACGGUUCGGUUUUACCAUAUUGAACAGCCCUACCAGUAUCUAUACAUUACGAAGAAAAAAUAUGAUAUUAUACAAGUACCUGAACGGUCGGAGUUGAGUUUUACAGAUCCAUGAGUUUAAGACCAGAACAAUCGGUGGUAAUAAAGAGAGAAUGUUCUGAUAUUUUCCAGCUUUCAAUUUUCCAGAAAGAGACACCAAAGGUCUCGACAGCAAAAAAAAGAAAAAAACAACACCAAAGGUGAAUGAGUUUUUUGUCUAAGAUGUUUUAAAAUUAAGCUUUGGGCCUCGACUAUUAAUAAAAUCUAAUAAUUUUUAACAUUUGGUUUGAUUACUAUGGGCCUUUUAAAUUGAUAUUGUUUUAAUAAUAUUAUCAUUAAAAUUGAUUGCCUAAUUGAUAUUUAAUUAGAUAAUAUUAAUAUACAUUUUUAUACUAAAAAUUGGAACUAGAAUUUGAUAUUAUAAAAACAGAAAUAUCAUUGUUUAGUAUAUAAUUUGAGCAAUAAUUAUUAUAUAUUAUUGGACAAUAGUCACAAAACUAAGAAGAAAAAAAUAUGUUAUGAAAGUUAGGAAUUAAAUUUAUAAUUAAUGUGUGAAAUGGCUAUGGUACAAGUGUAUAGUUAAUUUCACAAAUUCAAUACAGUUAACAAAAAUUAUAAUAAUUUUAAUAAAUAUUAUACAUAAAAUAUAAAAAUUAAAAAAAUUCUUUCAAUUAAAAAAAGUUAUCAAACAAUAAAUAUAUCCGCGCUUUGAAAGCGCGGGUCAAAAUCUAGUAAGUACAUUAAUGUUUGAAAACGAUCUUGGUUUCAUGCGAUUUGGGAUUAUCUUCUUCUCUUAUUUUGAAAGAGUCAAUCUAUUAAGGUUUCAAAACGAUUUGUAUUUGGUUAGUAAAAUAUAACUACUAUUCUAAAUCCAUAUUUACUUUGACUUUAGUCUUUCACAUACUUUUGAAAGAUUUCAACUGGACGAUUAAAUUGAUCAGUCAAUCUUGUUGCUUUAAAUCAUUAGUGGGAAACAUGGAACAAGAUUAUAUCUAAGGACUCCUAAUUAGAUAUACCAUUGGACAAACAUUUUUUAUUAGAAUUCUUAACUAUUCAAACAAAAAAAAAUUACUAAAAUAAUGUUAAGAACUCCAAUGGUGGUAACACCAUUGGAGAUGCUCUAAGAGCAUCAUUAUCCCAAAGACCCAUUUAGGGUCUCUUAUUCUUUUUUUAAUACUUUUAAGUAGUAAAAGUGAAUUAAGAGACUUAGUUAAGAGACUUGAACAUUUAUAUGUUCCAAUGCAAGUCUCUUAAUUAAGGUUUCUUAAAACUAUUUUCAUUGAAACUUAAAUGUACUUUAAAACCUACUUUUUUUUUUAUCAAACUACUUUCAAUGAAAUAUAGAAGAGUUCAACUCCAUCAAUGGAGGAUACAAUAAAGCUACAAGGAGCCAAACAAACCAAAGCAUAGACCAAUAAACUGGACAAGCAAAUAAGAAAGUUUAACCAUCUUCAAAACAAUGUUCCUUAUAACAAUUUCACUAAUAACAAGUCCAAGGAGAUAGCAAGUAAAGUUAACCUUAUUAAGUGUAACACACUUUGCAACCUUCACCAUAUAAUCAUAGAAUCAUAGAAUUCCUAAAUAACAAUCAGAUCUAAGCCUACAUAAUAUAACUCAUGUAGUAUAACAGAAAAAUAUGAACUAUGGUCCCAUAAAUCCCUCACCUUAGCCACUUGAUGACAAGUUUUCAUUUUCUCAACUUUGGACAGAUCCGUUGUACCGCUCGUUUUCCAUGUUCCCGAACUCCAGACCCUCUCUCCUUAUAGUUGAACAUAUAUCCACGAGUCCAUAAGGUUCCUGCCAAAUAUGAGCUCAGUCCGAGCUCAUUUUCCCAACCAAACAAGACGAUCCAUCAACAUACCACUCUGUUUCACAAUGUACCAAACCGGUUCAGAAAUACAUGAAUAACUAAUAAACUGACCGUCCACUUUUCGAUCACACCGUUGAACUCUGAGUCUGCAGUGUCCCCUACAUCUGUACAAAGUUUCAGUCAGAUCAGCAUACAAAUGAACCUCCCACGCUCUCUUGAAUUUGCUGCGACAGAACAGUUGAACCUCCCAGAUUUGAGCUGCUACUUCUGAUGCUUGCGUAGGAAGCAAGGCACACCACAACGAAGUCAUUACUCCAAUGACAGAGACGUCAGUUUCUAUGGCUUCCCUGCCACGUCCUCUAUUAAUAGAAACUCCAUAUGUGAUCUCCCAAACUCAUAUCUGAUCCGGAUCUCUCUUUCGAAACUCCAUCUCAAACUGUGUACUUUUUCUUCUUCUCCACCUUUGUUUCCUUCUUCUCUAGUCUUUUAUUCAAUUGGAUUUAAAUGAGAUUUUAGAUUUAAGUCUAUGAUCACUUUUGGUAAAGAAUCAGAUUAGUGUUUUGAAACCUGUGUGCGAAGAAGACGCGGCGGCGGAGGAAAACGUGAGGUUGACGAGAAGUGAGUCUCUGAGUCGGCUGAUGGCGCCGGAGUCAUCGCGGAGAGGUCAUCGUCAGAGUCGCCGGUUGAUGGAGUCGGAGUCGUCGCUGAUAGGUCAUCGUGGAGGAGAGAUCAGCAGAUGGAGUCGGAGUCGCCGAGGAGACACGAAAGAAAGAGAGAGAAUGCUUU